Molecule: ribosomal RNA, 501 nt
Filed under: uncultured Glomus
Lineage: Eukaryota; Fungi; Glomeromycota; Glomeromycetes; Glomerales; Glomeraceae
Description: SSU rRNA
Rfam family: Eukaryotic small subunit ribosomal RNA
Source: RNAcentral
AGCAGCCGCGGUAAUUCCAGCUCCAAUAGCGUAUAUUAAAGUUGUUGCAGUUAAAAAGCUCGUAGUUGAAUUUCGGGAUCAGUUCGCUGGUCGUGCCUCUGGUAUGUACUGGUGUUACUGGUUCCUCCCUUCUGACGAACUGUCAUGUCAUUUAUUUGGUGUGGCGGGGAAUCAGGACUGUUACUUUGAAAAAUUAGAGUGUUUAAAGCAGGCUCGCGCUUGAAUACAUUAGCAUGGAAUAAUGAAAUAGGACGUUCGAUCCUAUUUUGUUGGUUUCUAGGAUUGACGUAAUGAUUAAUAGGGAUAGUUGGGGGCAUUAGUAUUCAAUUGUCAGAGGUGAAAUUCUUGGAUUUAUUGAAGACUAACUACUGCGAAAGCAUUUGCCAAGGAUGUUUUCAUUAAUCAAGAACGAAAGUUAGGGGAUCGAAGACGAUCAGAUACCGUCGUAGUCUUAACCAUAAACUAUGCCGACUAGGGAUCGGAUGAUGUAAUUUUUAAUGA